RNAcentral lists this long non-coding RNA (3283 nucleotides) under Medicago truncatula (barrel medic). RNAcentral's name for it is "long non-coding RNA (MTRU_LNC000009)". The record is from RNAcentral. Lineage: Eukaryota; Viridiplantae; Streptophyta; Magnoliopsida; Fabales; Fabaceae.
GAAGAACGAGAGCAGCGUUCAUGUUAUUGAUUUUGGAAUUUGCUAUGGUUUCCAGUGGCCGUGCCUCGUCAGAAAACUAUCAUUAAGACCUGGUGGUCCUCCGAAGCUUCGAAUUACAGGAAUUGAGCUUCCUCAGCGAGGAUUUAGACCUGCAGAAAGGGUGGAGGAAACCGGACGGCGUCUAGCAAACUACUGCAAGAAGUUCAAUGUACCAUUUGAAUACAACUUCAUUGCACAGAAAUGGGAAACCAUCCGUCUCAAGGAUCUAAAGAUAGACAGGAAUGAAAUAACUCUUGUUAGCUGUUUGUACAGACUGAAGAACCUUCCUGAUGAAACUGUGGCAUUGAAUUGUCCAAGAGAAGCUGUGUUGAAGCUGAUCAGGAAGAUUAAUCCAAAAGUCUUCUUCCAUGGAGUUGCCAAUGGAAGUUAUAACGCACCGUUUUUCCUGACUCGGUUUAAGGAAGCACUCUACCACUUCUCAUCGUUGUUUGAUAUGUUUGAGGCUAAUGUGCCUCGUGAAGACACGCAGAGGUCAAUGCUUGAGAGAGGGUUGUUUGGAAGGGAUGCUAUAAAUGUUAUAGCUUGUGAGGGUGCCGAGAGGGUCGAAAGGCCUGAGACCUACAAGCAGUGGCAGGUCAGGAACAAGAGAGCUGGGUUCAAGCAAAUCAGGUUGGAUUCUGAUUUGGUGAAUGAAACCAAAGCAAUGGUGAAGAAGGAAUACCAUAAAGAUUUUGUAGUCGAUGUGGAUUGUAAAUGGGUUUUGAAGGGAUGGAAAGGACGUAUUUUGUAUGCUUUAUCUGCUUGGGUUCCUGCUUAAGCAAAAUGUCCAAAAGGUGUUUUGAAUGGUAGAUUGAAGUUUCAAAAGGAAUAGUGAACCAACACAUACUAAUUUUGUAUUGAAAAAUGAAUUUGUUUUCAUUGGAAUUUAUUUUUAUGUCUAUGAUAUGAUCUGUUGUUGUUGUCAAGUGUUAAAAAGAUGUAUGUAGAUUAGAGAACAAGUCUUAUUGUUCCAUCAUGGAAUGGAAACAUGGGACCAACAAAAACAUUGAUCACAUUUUAAUGCAUUCACAUUGAAUUCAAAACAGAAGUUAGUACUUCAAAUGAUUUAUAUAUUGAUAUAAUAAUAACAGGUUGUGACGAAUGACUUGGGGAACAAGGGAAAACCUGCAUCUGACUCUUGCACAUGUUUGACCACUUCAUAUUAUUUCAUAUAUUUCUAAAACAUGAAAAAUCAAAGACUAGAUCACCCAGCACUUAUCAAUCAAUCUGGUAUUAUUACGAUAUAAUAUCAUAUCAUAUAUCAUCAUAAGAUAAAAUAAUAAGAAAGAGGGAUUGGCGGCUAUGAUACUCCUUCCUAGCAUCUUCCUUAGUACAAAGAAAGAAUCAUUUAUGAAUUCUAUAUAACAAAGCUGUGACUCCAAUUCAUCAAACAAUGUUAGCUCCUCUUCAGUUGUUAGAUAGCAACUUUUCCUAGGUUUGUCCACGGUUAUAUUCACUAGUGUCUACAAUAUUUUUACUCUAAUUCAUUCUUCUUUGUUCUAUUCUAAAUAUCAAAAUCAUUAUUAUCAUCCAAAAUAGAGUCGGCUAUGUAGUUUUAUGAAUCUUAUUUUCUUGCUGUUAUCAAAUAUAUCAAUCAACUAUGCUAUCUUUUCCUGCUUCUGUUUUUGUUCUGUCUAUGUUUUAGUUGAUUCAUCAAAGUUUUCCUAAUCAGAUGAAUAUUCUUGGCUUCUCAGACACAAUCUUCCAAAACAUAUAUUGUAAGAGUCUGAAUUUUUUGUUUCAAUUUUGAUAUUAGCCUUGUUUCAAUAUGCUUUCUCCAAACACCUUUCUGCAAGAUUUUAGUGUUCCAAACUCAGUAAACCAAGUAACAAAUGGGUUUGAAUUAGAAGAUUCACCAUCUUCACCUUCUUCUUCUGGCACAAGCUCAAAUGGACAAUUCUUGGAACCGACAAGAUAUUCCAAUAACAUCCUAAGAUACAUAAAUGACAUCCUCAUGGAUGAAGAAGAUGACUUGGAGCAAAAACCUUGCAUGUUGCAGGAAUGUUUAAGACUUCAGGCUGCUGAAAAGUCCUUCUAUGAUGUUCUUGGCCAUAACCAGCCUUCACCGAAUGAUAGCACUGACCCAGAUGGAAAUUUCAAUUGCGCUGCUAGUUUUGAGAGAAAUGGCAGCAGCUGCAUCGCUGAUAACUCAUAUGAAUCUAACUGGGUCAAUCAUGUCGUCGAAUUCGAAUCUUUUCCCAUACAACUAAAAAGUCCUUUAAUAGAAAAAAACUACUAUGACUUGACAGAAGCUGAUCCAGUUGUCAUCGAGACACAAGGUGCUAACCAUUUUCACAACGGAACUUGGAGUUGGAAUGACAUUCAACCAGUGACGUUGGAAGAAGUUUUACCUUCAACAGUACCAGAAAAAAGAAGUCGUAAGAUGGAUAGAGAUAAUGAUACUUGUAAUGAACAAGAGGGAAGAGGUAGCAAGGUUUCAGCUAUUCUCUCUGAUGAAUUAGAGCCACCAGAGAUUUUAGAUGAGGUACUGCUUUAUCAGAAAGGAAAGACUCUCACUCAAUACCAACAAGCAUCACAUAAUGUUGAUUCAGGAGGAAAGGCAAAGGAAACACAUUCGCGUUUGAAGAAAGCAUCUACGACAAACAAUGCCGCGGCUGUGGAUUUGUGGACCAUGCUAAAUCAAUGUGCACAAGCUGUGGCGAGCUACGAUCAAAGGAAUACAGAUGAGCUACUCAAACAGAUUAGGCAUCACUCUUCGCCUUUCGGCGAUGGACUCCAACGUUUAGCUCAUUACUUUGCUAAUGGUCUUGAGAUAAGAUUGGCUGCUGAGACGCCAUCAUAUCAGCCUCUUGAUGUGGCAACUGCUGGAGAUAUGUUGAAAGCUUACAAACUAUUUGUUACCGCGUCUCCUUUGCAGAGAGUGACAAAUACUUUGCUAACCAAAACGAUUUUCAAAAUAGUGAAGAACGAGAGCAGCGUUCAUGUUAUUGAUUUUGGAAUUUGCUAUGGUUUCCAGUGGCCGUGCCUCGUCAGAAGACUAUCAUUAAGACCUGGUGGUCCUCCAAAGCUUCGAAUUACAGGAAUUGAGCUUCCUCAACCAGGAUUUAGACCUACAGAAAGGGUGGAGGAAACCGGACGGCGUCUAGCAAAAUACUGCAAGAAGUUCAAUGUACCAUUUGAAUACAACUUCAUUGCACAGAAAUGGGAAACCGUCUGUCUCGAGGAUCUAAAGAUAGACAGGAAUGAAAUAACUCUUGUUAGCUGUUUGUACAGACUGAAGAAC